AGAACGAACGCUGGCGGCAUGCCUAACACAUGCAAGUCGAACGAGACCUUCGGGGUCUAGUGGCGCACGGGUGCGUAACGCGUGGGGAAUCUGGCCCUUCGGUUCGGAAUAACUCAGGGAAACUUGAGCUAAUACCGGGAUAAUGAACUUCGGUCCAAAGAUUCAUCGCCGAGGGAUGAGCCCGCGUAGGAUUAGCUUGUUGGUGAGGUAAAGGCUCGACCAAGGCGACGAUCCUUAGCUGGUCUGAGAGGAUGAUCAGCCACACUGGGACUGAGACACGGCCCAGACUCCUACGGGAGGCAGCGAGUGGGGAAUAUGGACAAGGUGGGACGAAAGCCUAGAGUCCAAGUCAAAUGCCGCGUAGACGUGAAUGGAAGGUCCGUUAAGGGUUAGUAAA
This 397-nucleotide ribosomal RNA is filed under the name uncultured soil bacterium. RNAcentral describes it as "bacterial SSU rRNA". It matches the Rfam family "Bacterial small subunit ribosomal RNA", at positions 26 to 439 of the family's 1533-position model. The record is from RNAcentral.